Lates calcarifer (barramundi perch) is the source of this 627-nucleotide long non-coding RNA. RefSeq lists it as uncharacterized. Lineage: Eukaryota; Metazoa; Chordata; Actinopteri; Centropomidae. The record is from RefSeq and is a predicted model, not a curated record. The transcript has 3 exons.
AAAGAUAGUAUAUCGUAGGGAGAGAGUGCGUACUUCACUCUAAAAACCCCUUCGUCUUUACGUAAACAAUCAGGACCUUCGUGGUUCAUUUCAAACUAACGCAGAGUCAUAGGAGCAGACAUUAGCAGCGUUUUUUCGAGCUGGAAUAUAACUUUAGACCACAAAACAACAAAGGCCUCCACACAGACUCCGCCUCCAGUGGCAUCGUCCUGGCAACAGGCCAUCAGACUGAUGUUGCCAGGCGUGACUCAACAGUAACACUUUGCAUCGGUGGACAUACGUGGAGCAGUGUUUUACACUGUGUAAAAGAGUGAUCCCUCUGGAGCCAAGUGUUAUGUCUGCUGUUGAGUGGAAAAUUGCCGAGGUGGAAUAUUCACCCCCACACGCUCUGAAGCCUGAAUACCUUGCCUGGGUGCUCAAGAGUCACAACUAAGGUCCCAUUUGCAUUUGAUGGUCUCAUUAAACAGCCCAUUAGGGAGCCUUGCAGUGUGGAUGGGAGGCUCUGUGUGGCAAUUUGCAGUUUGAUGGCCACAGGAUGCGUUCCUGCACUGAACUACCAGGUGCCCUUGAGAAGUAUGUGGCAUUUCUCCUCCUAAUGGAUGCUCUGCAGUUAGUUUUAGGAACAUU